RNAcentral lists this ribosomal RNA (375 nucleotides) under uncultured bacterium. RNAcentral's name for it is "bacterial SSU rRNA". It matches the Rfam family "Bacterial small subunit ribosomal RNA", at positions 524 to 898 of the family's 1533-position model. The record is from RNAcentral.
UACAGAGGGUGCAAGCGUUAAUCGGAAUUACUGGGCGUAAAGCGAACGUAGGCGGUUACCUAAGUCGGAUGUGAAAUCCCCGGGCUCAACCUGGGAAUUGCAUUCGAGACUGGAUAGCUAGAAUGCGGAAGAGGGAAGCGGAAUUUCCGGUGUAGCGGUGAAAUGCGUAGAUAUCGGAAGGAACAUCAGUGGCGAAAGCGGCUUCCUGGUCCAGCAUUGACGCUCAGGUUCGAAAGCGUGGGGAGCAAACAGGAUUAGAUACCCUGGUAGUCCACGCCGUAAACGAUGUCGACUUGGAGGUUGUGCCCUUGAGGCGUGGCUUCCGGAGCUAACGCGUUAAGUCGACCGCCUGGGGAGUACGGCCGCAAGGUUAAA